Molecule: ribosomal RNA, 749 nt
Filed under: Gordonia sp. (in: high G+C Gram-positive bacteria)
Lineage: Bacteria; Bacillati; Actinomycetota; Actinomycetes; Mycobacteriales; Gordoniaceae
Description: bacterial SSU rRNA
Rfam family: Bacterial small subunit ribosomal RNA
Source: RNAcentral
AAGGCCCAGCUUGCUGGGUACUCGAGUGGCGAACGGGUGAGUAACACGUGGGUGAUCUGCCCCUGACUUUGGGAUAAGCCUGGGAAACUGGGUCUAAUACCGGAUAUUCAUUUUUCCUCGCAUGGGGAUUUGUGGAAAGCUUUUGCGGUUAGGGAUGGGCCCGCGGCCUAUCAGCUUGUUGGUGGGGUAAUGGCCUACCAAGGCGACGACGGGUAGCCGACCUGAGAGGGUGAUCGGCCACACUGGGACUGAGACACGGCCCAGACUCCUACGGGAGGCAGCAGUGGGGAAUAUUGCACAAUGGGCGCAAGCCUGAUGCAGCGACGCCGCGUGAGGGAUGACGGCCUUCGGGUUGUAAACCUCUUUCAGCUCCGACGAAGCGCAAGUGACGGUAGGAGCAGAAGAAGCACCGGCCAACUACGUGCCAGCAGCCGCGGUAAUACGUAGGGUGCAAGCGUUGUCCGGAAUUACUGGGCGUAAAGAGCUCGUAGGCGGUUUGUCGCGUCGUCUGUGAAAUUCUGCAGCUUAACUGCAGGCGUGCAGGCGAUACGGGCAGACUUGAGUACUACAGGGGAGACUGGAAUUCCUGGUGUAGCGGUGAAAUGCGCAGAUAUCAGGAGGAACACCGGUGGCGAAGGCGGGUCUCUGGGUAGUAACUGACGCUGAGGAGCGAAAGCGUGGGUAGCGAACAGGAUUAGAUACCCUGGUAGUCCACGCCGUAAACGGUGGGUACUAGGUGUGGGUUUCAU